UGGGGAAUUUUGGACAAUGGGCGAAAGCCUGAUCCAGCAAUGCCGCGUGUGUGAAGAAGGCCUUCGGGUUGUAAAGCACUUUUGUCCGGAAAGAAAUCCUCUGGGUUAAUACCUCGGGGGGAUGACGGUACCGGAAGAAUAAGCACCGGCUAACUACGUGCCAGCAGCCGCGGUAAUACGUAGGGUGCAAGCGUUAAUCGGAAUUACUGGGCGUAAAGCGUGCGCAGGCGGUUUUGUAAGACGGAUGUGAAAUCCCCGGGCUUAACCUGGGAACUGCAUUCGUGACUGCAAGGCUAGAGUAUGGCAGAGGGGGGUUAGAAUUCCACGUGUAGCAGUGAAAUGCGUAGAGAUGUGGAGGAAUACCGAUGGCGAAGGCAGCCCCCUGGGCCAAUACUGACGCUCAUGCACGAAAGCGUGGGGAGCAAACAGGAUUAGAUACCCUGGUAGUCCACGCCCUAAACGAUGUCAACUAGUUGUUGGGGAUUCAUUUCCUUAGUAACGUAGCUAACGCGUGAAGUUGACCGCCUGGGGGAGUACGGUCGCAAGAUUAAAACUUAAAUGAAUUGACGGGGUCAUAGCUGUUUCCU
This 587-nucleotide ribosomal RNA is filed under the name uncultured bacterium. Its description in RNAcentral is "partial 16S ribosomal RNA". It matches the Rfam family "Bacterial small subunit ribosomal RNA", at positions 355 to 1375 of the family's 1533-position model. The record is from RNAcentral.